Non-coding RNA from Caenorhabditis elegans, 356 nucleotides. The record is from Ensembl. Lineage: Eukaryota; Metazoa; Nematoda; Chromadorea; Rhabditida; Rhabditidae.
AGAAGAGAAAAUAAAGAUAAGUCUCAAGAUAGGUUGGUAAUCGCUAAAGUGGUUGUGUGGAUAAGAGUAGCAAAAUGGCAGGAAGAGCACUUUGCGCGCACACACUGUACUCAUUGUUCUGGAUAAAAUUCUCUCGUUGUUUGCCGUCGGAUGUCUGCCUCUCUGCAUUGAGCCGGCUUCUUCACUAUCUUUAGUUAACCUAAAAUGCCGUUUCUUUUCUCGUAUCCCCACUAUCCCGUUGAGGUUCUCUGCUCUCUUCGCUCCCUACCGCCAGCGAGCAACUAUCCGUGGGGGCGCCUUGCUCGGAAGAUGGGGGGGAAGAAAGAAGAUUUUUGCUAUUUGCACUUGAGAAAGAG